RNAcentral lists this ribosomal RNA (468 nucleotides) under uncultured bacterium. RNAcentral describes it as "partial 16S ribosomal RNA". It matches the Rfam family "Bacterial small subunit ribosomal RNA", at positions 28 to 507 of the family's 1533-position model. The record is from RNAcentral.
GACGAACGCUGGCGGCGUGCUUAACACAUGCAAGUCGAACGGAAAGGCCCUGCUUUUGUGGGUUGCUCGAUUGGCGAACGGGUGAGUAACACGUGAGUAACCUGCCCUUGACUUUGGGAUAACUUCAGGAAACUGGGGCUCAUAUCCGAUAUGAUCUCCUGCUGCAUGGUGGGGGUUGGAAAGUUUCGGCGGUUGGGGAUGUACUCGCGGCUUAUCCGCUUGUUUGUGGGGUAGUGGCUUACCAAGGCUUUGACGGGUAGCCGGCCUGAGAGGGUGACCGGCGACAUUGGGACUGAGAGACGGCACAGACUGCUAAGGGAGGCAGAAGGGGGGAAUAUUGCAGAAUGGGCGGAAGCCUGAUGCAGCAACGCCGCGUGCGGGAUGACGGCCUUAGGGUUGUAAACCGCUGUCGCCUGUGACGAAGAGGGAGUGACGGUAAUGAGUAAAGAAGCAACGGCUAACUACGUG